RNAcentral lists this ribosomal RNA (301 nucleotides) under uncultured bacterium. Its description in RNAcentral is "partial 16S ribosomal RNA". It matches the Rfam family "Bacterial small subunit ribosomal RNA", at positions 509 to 809 of the family's 1533-position model. The record is from RNAcentral.
CAGCCGCCGCGGUAACACGAAGGGGGCUAGCGUUGUUCGGAUUUACUGGGCGUAAAGCGCACGUAGGCGGAUCCUUAAGUCAGAGGUGAAAUCCCAAGGCUCAACCUUGGAACUGCCUUUGAUACUGGGGAUCUCGAGUCCGGGAGAGGUGAGUGGAACUGCGAGUGUAGAGGUGAAAUUCGUAGAUAUUCGCAAGAACACCAGUGGCGAAGGCGGCUCACUGGCCCGGUACUGACGCUGAGGUGCGAAAGCGUGGGGAGCAAACAGGAUUAGAUACCCCAGUAGUCCCUGUCUCUUAUAA